CAGGGAAUAUAUCAAUUGGGAGAUUAUCUGCUUUGGGAGUAGAAGGGUGCGGGUUCAAAUCCCGUUUCCUUGA
This 73-nucleotide transfer RNA is filed under the name Plenaster craigi. RNAcentral describes it as "tRNA-Pro". It matches the Rfam family "tRNA". Rfam says of the family: Transfer RNA (tRNA) molecules are approximately 80 nucleotides in length. Their secondary structure includes four short double-helical elements and three loops (D, anti-codon, and T loops). The record is from RNAcentral. Lineage: Eukaryota; Metazoa; Porifera; Demospongiae; Axinellida; Stelligeridae.